Molecule: ribosomal RNA, 468 nt
Filed under: uncultured bacterium
Lineage: Bacteria
Description: partial 16S ribosomal RNA
Rfam family: Bacterial small subunit ribosomal RNA
Source: RNAcentral
GACGAACGCUGGCGGCGUGCUUAACACAUGCAAGUCGAACGGAAAGGCCCUGCUUUUGUGGGGUGCUCGAGUGGCGAACGGGUGAGUAACACGUGAGUAACCUGCCCUUGACUUUGGGAUAACUUCAGGAAACUGGGGCUAAUACCGGAUAGGAGCUCCUGCUGCAUGGUGGAGGUUGGAAAGUUUCGGCGGUUGGGGAUGGACUCGCGGCUUAUCGGCUUGUUGGUGGGGUAGUGGCUUACCAAGGCUUUGACGGGUAGCCGGCCUGAGAGGGUGACCGGCCACAUUGGGACUGAGGUACGGCCCAGACUCCUACGGGAGGCAGCAGUGGGGAAUAUUGCACAAUGGGCGGAAGCCUGAUGCAGCAACGCCGCGUGCGGGAUGACGGCCUUCGGGUUGUAAACCGCUUUCGCCUGUGACGAAGCGUGAGUGACGGUAAUGGGUAAAGAAGCACCGGCUAACUACGUG